GGCGGACGGGUGCUGGGUGAAGCGCCAUCACACGCCGAGUGUGACUGAAGAAGCCUCUCCAGUGAUCAGCUCAGUGGGUUAACCACGCAGCUCUGAAUGGGGGCUGAUGGGAGGCUCGCCCAGUUAAGACCCUGCGCCAGUGCGUGUGGGUGGGCCCCGCAGUGUGGGGCCGAGUCCUCCAUCACCAGCUGCCCUGAAAGCAAGGAGACUGCCAGGUGACGCGUGAUUGGCUGCAGUGUUCCCGAGGGAGGGAUUUGGUUGGCAUGCUGAUCGUGUCUUUUUGUGCACCAGCGCCCCCCUGUGGUCGAUCACAUUCCUGCAGUCUGCAUGGAUCAGUUAUCCGUUAUGUAAAUGGGGAGAACUUUCUGGCCCCCGAAAGUCCUCCAGCUCCCAGGGGGAUGGACUAUGAUGAUGUGGGGGAGUAGCCUUCUGAAAGUGGAGGAGCACUGUGAGAUUGACCGUUCUAACUUUGGAAGUGUCCACCCACAAGUUUGGAUAGAAGAACUUACAUGGACUGCUUCAUCCUACACAUCUCAAGCAAAAUGUUUUAAUGUGAUAAAACCAUAUCCCACUAUAUGAGUUAUUCAUGAAUUAAUAAUUCACCUGAAAUUAUUUACUGUGGACUCCUUAGCUCAUUCAUAAAUUAGCUCACUGGAAAUGCUGGUACUUGUAUACAUUGAGAACAAUAGCUUGCAUUCACUGACACAAUGAGACAGUUACUUUUUCUGACCAAGAUGAUGAUGUACAGCUCAAACUACAUCAAGUCAGUACUGGCCACUUCAAUAUGAAAUGAAUGCAUCAACAUUUUUGGAAUGUAAAAAUGAAAACUGUGCUUUAGCCUGUGUAAGCCUUUGCUUUAGAUUUGUUUGUAUUUACAUCAAACCCUUUCAGUUUUGGCUGCUGUGUUCAUCAUGUGCAGGUCAGAGCUGUCCAUGUUGGCUCUCUCUGAUUGACACGUGGAAGGAUAGCCAGACAGCACUUAUCCAGCAUCCCAUCAUGCUCCUUUGCAAGAUCACAUUGUUCAAGAUGCUUUUAUUGCACAUAGCUGAUGAGUUUGUUCAUCUUUCCAUUUGAGCAGAAUAUGAACAAGGCAGUAAGUCUGCACUGACUGCUUUUUCACUACUACUCAUUUCAUACUACUUUUAUUACUACUCAAACUUGUUUAAAAAAUUUUAACAAAAAAAUAUUUGACUACCUUUUUAUAUAUUUAGUUUUUAGAUAUUCGGAUGCUAUAUCUUGGAGAAUUAUACUCCUUUUGAUAGACAAGAUUUUAUAGAAAUGAAAUAUAUUUAGCUAAAAUGCUCACAAUGUAUUUCUUAGCCUUCUUAAGCAAUACCAGUAUUUUUAACAGCUGCAUGUCAAUAAGGCAUUUUUAAAUAAAGUUUAAAGACUGAUUAAA
This is a long non-coding RNA of Anguilla anguilla (European eel), 1399 nucleotides long. RefSeq lists it as uncharacterized. Lineage: Eukaryota; Metazoa; Chordata; Actinopteri; Anguilliformes; Anguillidae. The record is from RefSeq and is a predicted model, not a curated record. The transcript has 2 exons.